This 27-nucleotide non-coding RNA is filed under the name Rattus norvegicus (Norway rat). Lineage: Eukaryota; Metazoa; Chordata; Mammalia; Rodentia; Muridae. The record is from RNAcentral.
UGUAUUUAGAGGAAUAAAAAAGCUGGU